GGCGUAAAGCGUCCGCAGGCGGCCCUUCAAGUCUGCUGUUAAAAAGUGGAGCUUAACUCCAUCAUGGCAGUGGAAACUGUUGGGCUUGAGUGUGGUAGGGGCAGAGGGAAUUCCCGAUGUAGCGGUGAAAUGCGUAGAUAUCGGGAAGAACACCAGUGGCGAAGGCGCUCUGCUGGGCCAUAACUGACGCUCAUGGACGAAAGCCAGGGGAGCGAAAGGGAUUAGAUACCCCUGUAGUCCUGGCCGUAAACGAUGAACACUAGGUGUCGGGGGAAUCGACCCCCUCGGUGUCGUAGCCAACGCGUUAAGUGUUCCGCCUGGGGAGUACGCACGCAAGUGUGAAACUCAAAGGAAUUGACGGGGGCCCGCACAAGCGGUGGAGUAUGUGGUUUAAUUCGAUGCAACGCGAAGAACCUUACCAGGGCUUGACAUCCUGCGAACCUCUGGGAAACCGGAGGGUGCCUUCGGGAACGCAGUGACAGGUGGUGCAUGGCUGUCGUCAGCUCGUGUCGUGAGAUGUUGGGUUAAGUCCCGCAACGAGCGCAACCCACGUCUUUAGUUGCCAGCAUUUAGUUGGGCACUCUAGAGAGACCGCCGGUGAUAAACCGGAGGAAGGUGUGGAUGACGUCAAGUCAUCAUGCCCCUUACAUCCUGGGCUACACACGUACUACAAUGCUACGGACAAAGAGCAGCAAGUUCGCGAGGACAAGCAAAUCUCAUAAACCGUGGCUCAGUUCAGAUCGUAGGCUGCAACUCGCCUACGUGAAGGAGGAAUCGCUAGUAAUC
This 786-nucleotide ribosomal RNA is filed under the name uncultured cyanobacterium. RNAcentral describes it as "bacterial SSU rRNA". It matches the Rfam family "Bacterial small subunit ribosomal RNA", at positions 557 to 1343 of the family's 1533-position model. Lineage: Bacteria; Bacillati; Cyanobacteriota. The record is from RNAcentral.